This 215-nucleotide long non-coding RNA is filed under the name Populus trichocarpa (black cottonwood). RNAcentral's name for it is "long non-coding RNA (PTRI_LNC002230)". Lineage: Eukaryota; Viridiplantae; Streptophyta; Magnoliopsida; Malpighiales; Salicaceae. The record is from RNAcentral.
UAGGCUAAAAUUUGGAACUAUUGAUUGGUUGACAAACUAUUUAGUUGGUGGCCAACCAUUGACUUGGUGGCUAGUUUUUGAUAUUGUUGGCUGGUUAUUAAUAUUGUUGGCUAGCCAAAACGUCAUUGCUAACAUCAGAAUUCGAGCCUAUUGGACCCAUAAAAGUUGUGGGCAAUUGUCUCAGCUUUCCAAUAAAAAAAACCAGAGCUCAUUUG